GACGAACCGUGCGAACGUUAUUCGGAAUCACUGGGCUUAAAGGGUGCGUAGGCGGGUCGAACAGUCAGGGGUGAAAUCCCACGGCCCAACCGUGGAAGUGCCUCUGAUACUGCCGACCUCGAGGGGGAUAGGGGCAUGCGGAACUCAGGGUGGAGCGGUGAAAUGCGUAGAUAUCCUGAGGAACACCGGUGGCGAAAGCGGCGUGCUAGGUCCCUUCUGACGCUGAGGCACGAAAGCCAGGGGAGCAAACGGG
This 253-nucleotide ribosomal RNA is filed under the name uncultured bacterium. RNAcentral describes it as "partial 16S ribosomal RNA". It matches the Rfam family "Bacterial small subunit ribosomal RNA", at positions 524 to 776 of the family's 1533-position model. The record is from RNAcentral.